Molecule: ribosomal RNA, 253 nt
Filed under: uncultured bacterium
Lineage: Bacteria
Description: partial 16S ribosomal RNA
Rfam family: Bacterial small subunit ribosomal RNA
Source: RNAcentral
UACGGAGGGGGCUAGCGUUGUUCGGAAUUACUGGGCGUAAAGCGCACGCAGGUGGUUCUGUGCGUGGGGUGUGAAAGCUCUCGGCUUAACUGAGAGAGGCCACCUCAUACGGCAGAGCUCGAGCCCGUGAGAGGUCCACGGAAUUGCCGGUGUAAUGGUGAAAUGCGUAGAGAUCCGGAAGAACACCGGAGGCGAAGGCGGCUUGCUGGGCGUGAUCUGACGCUGAGGCGCGAAAGCGUGGGGAGCGAACAGG